RNAcentral lists this ribosomal RNA (870 nucleotides) under Cortinarius sp. RNAcentral describes it as "partial large subunit ribosomal RNA". It matches the Rfam family "Eukaryotic large subunit ribosomal RNA", at positions 104 to 956 of the family's 3401-position model. Lineage: Eukaryota; Fungi; Basidiomycota; Agaricomycetes; Agaricales; Cortinariaceae. The record is from RNAcentral.
AAAGCUCAAAUUUAAAAUCUGGCGGUCUUCUGGCUGUCCGAGUUGUAAUCUAGAGAAGUGUUAUCCGCGCUGGACCGUGUACAAGUCUCCUGGAAUGGAGCAUCAUAGAGGGUGAGAAUCCCGUCUUUGACAUGGACUGCCAGGGCUUUGUGAUGCGCUCUCAAAGAGUCGAGUUGUUUGGGAAUGCAGCUCAAAAUGGGUGGUAAAUUCCAUCUAAAGCUAAAUAUUGGCGAGAGACCGAUAGCGAACAAGUACCGUGAGGGAAAGAUGAAAAGAACUUUGGAAAGAGAGUUAAACAGUACGUGAAAUUGCUGAAAGGGAAACGCUUGAAGUCAGUCGCGUCGUCCAGGGAUCAACCUUGCUUUUGCUUGGUGCACUUUCUGGUUUGACGGGUCAGCAUCAAUUUUGACUGUUGGAAAAAGGCUGAGGGAAUGUGGCAUCUUUGGAUGUGUUAUAGCCCUUGGUCAUAUACAAUGGUUGGGAUUGAGGAACUCAGCAUGCCGCAAGGCCGGGUUUUAAACCACGUACGUGCUUAGGAUGCUGGCAAAUAUGGCUUUAAUCGACCCGUCUUGAAACACGGACCAAGGAGUCUAACAUGCCUGCGAGUGUUUGGGUGGAAAACCCGAGCGCGUAAUGAAAGUGAAAAGUUGAGAUCCCUGUCGUGGGGAGCAUCGACGCCCGGACCAGACCUUUUGUGACGGUUCCGCGGUAGAGCAUGUAUGUUGGGACCCGAAAGAUGGUGAACUAUGCCUGAAUAGGGUGAAUCCAGAGGAAACUCUGGUGGAGGCUCGUAGCGAUUCUGACGUGCAAAUCGAUCGUCAAAUUUGGGUAUAGGGGCGAAAGACUAAUCGAACCAUCUAGUAGCUGGUC